RNAcentral lists this ribosomal RNA (346 nucleotides) under uncultured eukaryote. Its description in RNAcentral is "SSU rRNA". It matches the Rfam family "Eukaryotic small subunit ribosomal RNA", at positions 594 to 945 of the family's 1831-position model. The record is from RNAcentral.
AUAGCGUAUAUUAAAGUUGUUGCAGUUAAAAAGCUCGUAGUUGAACUUCAGGCUUGGUUGGGCGGUCCGCCUCACGGCGUGUACUGUCUGACUGGGUCUUACCUCUUGGUGAGCCGGCGUGGCCUUUAUUGGUUGCGUCGGGGAACCAGGACUUUUACCUUGAGAAAAUUAGAGUGUUCAAAGCAGGCCUAUGUCCGAAUACAUUAGCAUGGAAUAAUAGAAUAGGACGUGCGAUCCUAUUUUGUUGGUUUCUAGAGUCGCCGUAAUGAUUAAUAGGGAUAGUUGGGGGCAUUGGUAUUGAGUCGCUAGAGGUGAAAUUCUUGGAUUGACUCAAGACCGACUAUUG